This 472-nucleotide ribosomal RNA is filed under the name uncultured bacterium. Its description in RNAcentral is "bacterial SSU rRNA". It matches the Rfam family "Bacterial small subunit ribosomal RNA", at positions 28 to 507 of the family's 1533-position model. The record is from RNAcentral.
GAUGAACGCUGGCGGCGUGCCUAACACAUGCAAGUCGAACGGGGUUACACGAGUAGCAAUACUUGUGCAACCUAGUGGCGGACGGGUGAGUAACGCGUGAGCAACCUACCUUCCAGAGAGGGAUAACACAGGGAAACCUGUGCUAAUACCGCAUAAAGUACAGUGGGGGCAUCCCUGCAGUACCAAAGGAGCAAUCCGCUGGGAGAUGGGCUCGCGUCCGAUUAGGUAGUUGGUGGGGUAACGGCUCACCAAGCCGACGAUCGGUAGCCGGACUGAGAGGUUGGCCGGCCACAUUGGGACUGAGACACGGCCCAGACUCCUACGGGAGGCAGCAGUGGGGAAUAUUGGGCAAUGGGCGGAAGCCUGACCCAGCGACGCCGCGUGAGGGAAGACGGCCUUCGGUUGUAAACCGUCAGUUAUACGGACGAAGGAAGUGACGGUACCGUAAGAGAAAGACACGGCUAACUACGUG